This 268-nucleotide ribosomal RNA is filed under the name uncultured bacterium. RNAcentral's name for it is "partial large subunit ribosomal RNA". It matches the Rfam family "Bacterial small subunit ribosomal RNA", at positions 565 to 831 of the family's 1533-position model. The record is from RNAcentral.
GAGCACGUAGGUGGGUUUGUAAGUCGGGUGUGAAAGCCCCUGGCUCAACCAGGGAACUACAUUUGAUACUGUGAGGCUUGAGGACAGGAGGGGAGAGUGGAACUUCUGGUGGAGCGGUGAAAUGCGUAGAUAUCAGAAGGAACGCCGGCGGCGAAAGCGAUUCUCUGGCCUAUAACUGACACUGAGUGUGCGAAAGCUAGGGGAGCAAACGGGAUUAGAUACCCCGGUAGUCCUAGCCGUAAACGAUGGGCACUAAGUAGAGGGGUUU